CCCUUAGAUGUCCGGGGCCGCACGCGCGCUACACUGAAGGAAUCAGCGUGGCUUUCUCCCUGACCCGAAAGGGUUGGGAAACCCGUUGAAUCUCCUUCGUGAUAGGGAUUGGGGCUUGAAAUUGUUCCCCAUGAACGAGGAAUUCCCAGUAAGCGCGAGUCAUAAGCUCGCGUUGAUUACGUCCCUGCCCUUUGUACACACCGCCCGUCGCUACUACCGACUGAACGGUUUAGUGAGGGCCUCGGAUUGGUCUCGGCCCGCUCUUUACCGGGCGGCGCCGUUGGUCGAGAAGACGCUCGAACUUGAUCGUUUAGAGGAAGUAAAAGUCGUAACA
This 334-nucleotide ribosomal RNA is filed under the name uncultured eukaryote. RNAcentral describes it as "partial 18S ribosomal RNA". It matches the Rfam family "Eukaryotic small subunit ribosomal RNA", at positions 1470 to 1796 of the family's 1831-position model. The record is from RNAcentral.